Molecule: ribosomal RNA, 468 nt
Filed under: uncultured bacterium
Lineage: Bacteria
Description: partial 16S ribosomal RNA
Rfam family: Bacterial small subunit ribosomal RNA
Source: RNAcentral
GACGAACGCUGGCGGCGUGCUUAACACAUGCAAGUCGAACGGUAAGGCCCUUCUUUUGUGGGUUGCUCGUGUUGCGACCGUGUGAGUAACACGUGAGUAACCUGCCCUUGACUUUGUUAUAACUUCAGGUAACUUUGGCUAAUACCUGAUAGGUGCUCCUGCUGCAUGUUUGGGUUUGGAUUGUUUCGGCGGUUGGGUAUGUACUCGCGGGUUAUCAGCUUGUUGGUUGGGUAGUGGCUUACCAAGGCUUUGACGGGUAGCCGGCCUGAGAGGGUGACCGGCAAGAUUGGGACUGAGAUACGGCACAGAGUGCUACGGGAGGCAGCAGUGGGGAAUAUUGCACAAUGGGCGGAAGCCUGAUGAAGCAAAGAAGCGUGCGGGAUGACGGCCUUCGGGUUGUAAAAAGAAUUAGCAUGUGAGGAAGCGUGAGUGACGGUAAUGGGUAAAGAAGCACCGGCUAACUACGUG